This 505-nucleotide ribosomal RNA is filed under the name uncultured bacterium. Its description in RNAcentral is "partial 16S ribosomal RNA". It matches the Rfam family "Bacterial small subunit ribosomal RNA", at positions 28 to 507 of the family's 1533-position model. The record is from RNAcentral.
GACGAACGCUGGCGGCGUGCCUAAUACAUGCAAGUGGAACGCACAGUUUAUACCGUAGCUUGCUACACCAUAGACUGUGAGUUGCGAACGGGUGAGUAACGCGUAGGUAACCUGCCUGGUAGCGGGGGAUAACUAUUGGAAACGAUAGCUAAUACCGCAUAAUAUUGAUUAUUGCAUGAUAAUUGAUUGAAAGAUGCUAUUGCAUCACUACCAGAUGGACCUGCGUUGUAUUAGCUAGUAGGUGAGGUAACGGCUCACCUAGGCGACGAUACAUAGCCGACCUGAGAGGGUGAUCGGCCACACUGGGACUGAGGCACGGCCCAGACUCCUACGGGAGGCAGCAGUAGGGAAUCUUCGGCAAUGGACGAAAGUCUGACCGAGCAACGCCGCGUGAGUGAAGAAGGUUGUCGGAUCGUAAAGCUCUGUUGUAAGAGAAGAACGGGUGUGAGAGUGGAAAGUUCACACUGUGACGGUAUCUUACCAGAAAGGGACGGCUAACUACGUG